CGACCGCCGGCGACACUGGGCGCGCUGGAGCCCGAGCUGAGCCGAGCCCGAGUCGCCGCCGCCGCCGCCGCUCCCAGGCUUUCUCCCAGCGCGCCGGCCCGGGUGUGGGGGGCAGCGGGCCGGAGGGGCGCGGGCGGACGAGGGGCGCGCGCUGCGAUCGGCGCCGGAGACCGGACCCUCGGCCGCGAGGGUACGAGUUGAAUGGGAAACAGAAUAUCUGUUUUAUAAAUAAUCGUGGAAGAUAAAAGUAAACAAAACAUAGUCCAUGCAAAAGACAAGUUGGAAAGGAAACAAUGAGGAAUUAUUGAAAACAAGAAAGUAUAAAGUCCAAUUACGUGAGGGUGUUGCUGGCCUCUGCUCUUCUAAGACUUCAGCUGCAGAACCCACUCGUGAACCCUCCUAGGGCUCUGGAGAAGAUCUAAUGGGAGAUUGAGUGUGGAAACACUUUGGAAACCAUGAAGCACUCCGUAAAAGGG
Long non-coding RNA from Balaenoptera acutorostrata (minke whale), 476 nucleotides. RefSeq lists it as uncharacterized. The record is from RefSeq and is a predicted model, not a curated record. The transcript is spliced from 4 exons. NCBI's taxonomy places the organism in Eukaryota, Metazoa, Chordata, Mammalia, Artiodactyla, Balaenopteridae.